RNAcentral lists this ribosomal RNA (427 nucleotides) under uncultured bacterium. Its description in RNAcentral is "partial 16S ribosomal RNA". It matches the Rfam family "Bacterial small subunit ribosomal RNA", at positions 355 to 774 of the family's 1533-position model. The record is from RNAcentral.
UGGGGAAUAUUGCACAAUGGGCGCAAGCCUGAUGCAGCCAUGCCGCGUGUAUGAAGAAGGCCUUCGGGUUGUAAAGUACUUUCAGCGGGGAGGAAGGCGAUAAGGUUAAUAACCUUGUCGAUUGACGUUACCCGCAGAAGAAGCACCGGCUAACUCCGUGCCAGCAGCCGCGGUAAUACGGAGGGUGCAAGCGUUAAUCUGAAUUACUGGGCGUAAAGCGCACGCAGGCGGUCUGUCAAGUCGGAUGUGAAAUCCCCGGGCUCAACCUGGGAACUGCAUUCGAAACUGGCAGGCUAGAGUCUUGUAGAGGGGGGUAGAAUUCCAGGUGUAGCGGUGAAAUGCGUAGAGAUCUGGAGGAAUACCGGUGGCGAAGGCGGCCCCCUGGACAAAGACUGACGCUCAGGUGCGAAAGCGUGGGGAGCAAACA